UGCAAGUCGAACGAUGAACCCGCUUCGGUGGGGGAUUAGUGGCGAACGGGUGAGUAACACGUGGGCAAUCUGCCCUUCACUCUGGGACAAGCCCUGGAAACGGGGUCUAAUACCGGAUAAUACUCCUGCAGGCAUCUGUGGGGGUUAAAAGCUCCGGCGGUGAAGGAUGAGCCCGCGGCCUAUCAGCUUGUUGGUGAGGUAGUGGCUCACCAAGGCGACGACGGGUAGCCGGCCUGAGAGGGCGACCGGCCACACUGGGACUGAGACACGGCCCAGACUCCUACGGGAGGCAGCAGUGGGGAAUAUUGCACAAUGGGCGAAAGCCUGAUGCAGCGACGCCGCGUGAGGGAUGACGGCCUUCGGGUUGUAAACCUCUUUCAGCAGGGAAGAAGCGAAAGUGACGGUACCUGCAGAAGAAGCGCCGGCUAACUACGUGCCAGCAGCCGCGGUAAUACGUAGGGCGCAAGCGUUGUCCGGAAUUAUUGGGCGUAAAGAGCUCGUAGGCGGUCUGUCGCGUCGGAUGUGAAAGCCCGGGGCUUAACCCCGGGUCUGCAUUCGAUACGGGCAGACUAGAGUGUGGUAGGGGAGAUCGGAAUUCCUGGUGUAGCGGUGAAAUGCGCAGAUAUCAGGAGGAACACCGGUGGCGAAGGCGGAUCUCUGGGCCAUUACUGACGCUGAGGAGCGAAAGCGUGGGGAGCGAACAGGAUUAGAUACCCUGGUAGUCCACGCCGU
Molecule: ribosomal RNA, 732 nt
Filed under: Streptomyces sp. YIM 63600
Lineage: Bacteria; Bacillati; Actinomycetota; Actinomycetes; Kitasatosporales; Streptomycetaceae
Description: bacterial SSU rRNA
Rfam family: Bacterial small subunit ribosomal RNA
Source: RNAcentral